RNAcentral lists this unclassified non-coding RNA (885 nucleotides) under Hevea brasiliensis (rubber tree). The record is from RNAcentral. Lineage: Eukaryota; Viridiplantae; Streptophyta; Magnoliopsida; Malpighiales; Euphorbiaceae.
GAAUUCACCAACUACACCUGAUUUCACCAUCUCUAUGUUUUGCUCCAUAUCAGCCAGUCCUUUACCAUAUUCAAAGGAGUUGCAGUUUUGAGUACUUCGAGAGUUUUGAUGCAGUUUUUUGGAAUCAUCCUAAUUUAAAAUGCAAAAUACUUCAGACAAGAUAAAAUAUACCAAUUAGCAGAAUGAAUAAAAUUGCAAGUGCACACAGUUGUGUAGACAAACUCAAACAUAUGAUAAAUUGAAAGGCAAGUUGAAAUGUCUAGAAAACUAGGCAACCCAAUAUACUUGUAUCAUUCGGCAUAUUGAUUCUUAUUAAGAGAUAAUACAAUCAGCAUAUUGAAAAUCAUUUUGUAUUAAUUCCUAAAUUUGCUUGAACUCAUCUAAAAGAAAGAGAAAUUCACUUUGCAAGAUACCAUAAUUAAAAAAACCGUAAAAUUCUUCUAAGGAAACCGGAGACUAAUUCAGUAUUAGAUGCCCAGCUGCACUCUUCUAGAAGAAGAUUUGGAACCAGAUAUCCACAACUCAGAAUUUCAAUCUUUUGUUGGAGAAAAAUUAUAAAACACAGUUUCAAGCUUCUAAAGGAAUUUGCUUUUUAUAUGUAACAGGAAAAAUCCUAUGACGCCAAGCUAUCCUGUAAAAUAUCUGUCCAAAAUGCUCAUGCUGCCCAUUAUCUGCCAUUUGCUAAUAGUGAUUUUCUCAGCCAAGCGAAUCUACAAUGUUGAAAAUUACCAUUUAAAUGGCAACUUCUACCAGAAUUCAUCAACCAAAACAUUCAGCAACAAAACAUUCAGCAAAAAUACAGUAUUAUGGUAUAAAAUUCAUCACUCGGAAAAUAUUUGCUGUAGAAAGUUAAUAACGUAUGCAACGCGAAGAGGGGAAAAAAAG